Molecule: transfer RNA, 73 nt
Filed under: Cordylochernes scorpioides
Lineage: Eukaryota; Metazoa; Arthropoda; Arachnida; Pseudoscorpiones; Chernetidae
Description: tRNA-Ala
Source: RNAcentral
UGGAGAUACUGGGUAUUGAUCCCAAUACCUCUCACAUGCUAAGCGAGCGCUCUACCAUCUGAGAUACAUCCCC